Long non-coding RNA from Paramisgurnus dabryanus, 1188 nucleotides. RefSeq lists it as uncharacterized. NCBI's taxonomy places the organism in Eukaryota, Metazoa, Chordata, Actinopteri, Cypriniformes, Cobitidae. The record is from RefSeq and is a predicted model, not a curated record.
AACCCAAAUAUAAAAGUGGAACUAAUGAUUUAGCCAGUGUUGCUGGAGGGACUGCUUUUACAUGUGCACCUGCCAGAUAAGCAUGGGUAUAAAAUGUUUGUGGUUAGCUUAGCUACCAUUUUUAUUGCUUGUAUUCCUCAAUCUGAAAACCAGAGAUACAGCUCAUUGUUCAACCUUAAAGACGCAACUGGUUAUCAACCUAUUGCCUAUUCCCUUUACUUCUCUCAAUUCGUUCAUCUAUAUUCAAAAAUUCAACUGUUUCUGAAAACCAUCUGGAAGAGAAAUAAAUAGACCAAAAAGGAAUUGAGUUGUCCCUUUGCAUCCUUAAUGUGUUGAAAAAGCCAUUUUCAAGUUUGGGCAGAGCUGAACUUAUUGUGAUAACUUGACAGUUGAUAACCAGCGUGGCAGUGAGAACAAGGAUCAAAGGCCUGAAGUCAAGCUGUCAACGCAAAGGAAGAAUUGACUGGAAACUCUUCACCAUGGCAGAGGAAACUCUUGGGAAAACAGUAAAGCAACUGAAGCAAGAAAGAACCUUAGCUAAAAGCGCGUUUACCAAGCAAGCAAACUUCCUUAGCAGAGGCGCAAAAGAAUAUGACAAAGAGUGAACUACAAGAGGAGUUCAAGAAGCUCAUGCUGGAGGCGAGGAAGUUUGUGUGUUUGUGUGGGGGUCGUGUGCUGUAAUCUUUGAAAGUUUAUGACCGAACCUUUAUUGGGGAGCGACAACAGAUCUCCGGGACUCAGUUUGGAUGGAGUAGAGUUGGUAUACUCAAGUCUAUUGGGAAUUUGUCUAAACUGGUAUUAACUAUUCCUGGUAAAUCGCAGAGAAGAGUGGAAUGAACAAAAAAGUCAGACCGAGACUAGAAACUCCCGCAGCGUAACAAGGAAAUCUUGGAACAAAGAGACGCCGAGUGGCUCGUGUUGUCCGAUUGGAUAUCAGAGGCAAAGCGAACGUUGUGUGUACUAUUGCAAAAUAUAUAGCGGAUCUCCACGGCUAGGAUACAGACCACAACACUUUGGACGUUUCUUUAAAAAAGAGAAAUCAGAGACUUUUUGGAUUUGUCUGGGAACAUUUUAAACAUUUUGUGGCAAAUUGGAUUUAACACAUUUCGGAUACUGGAUACCUGUGUUUGAUUUGUCCGCAGAGCUGGUCGCUUUUUAAAAUCACAGGGGUAAGUGACUAAUUACAUU